AUCGAUAUUCACCUCAUACUGGUCAAGCUUAAAAUGACAUCAGAUAAAAUCCGGGCAGAGUGGUCCAGAGUACUGGGAAUGGGAAUAAAAUACGAACACGGCCAUGAUUGUAACUGACCUCAAAGAGGAAGGACAAACCCACUGUUUCAACGGAAAACUUGUGAUGCUUCUGAAUUUAUUGAUGAAGUUCUGCACAAGAAUGUAAAAAGGAAACAACGCAGAGAAAAAAAAAUUGGAAGAAUAACAUUAGUACGGAAGUAAGACACAAAACAACUACUCCAUUCAACAGUUCAACAUGUGAACCUUUACUGUGACCAUUUCUACACCACUUGUUCCAAAGAUGACUUUUAUACUUUACAUAUCUAAAUACCUAAAAAUAUAAAUAAAUAUAAAUGUAAAUAUAAAAU
Molecule: long non-coding RNA, 407 nt
Filed under: Manacus vitellinus (golden-collared manakin)
Lineage: Eukaryota; Metazoa; Chordata; Aves; Passeriformes; Pipridae
Description: lncRNA (ENSMVIG00005000023.1)
Source: RNAcentral